This is a long non-coding RNA of Pieris napi, 440 nucleotides long. RefSeq lists it as uncharacterized. The record is from RefSeq and is a predicted model, not a curated record. Lineage: Eukaryota; Metazoa; Arthropoda; Insecta; Lepidoptera; Pieridae. The transcript is spliced from 2 exons.
AAUCUAGUGAAUCAGUACUUAUUAUCGUAUAAACUGAGCUAUCUAUAUAAGAUUGGUCAAUCAAACAAUACCAGAAUUGAAAAAAAAUUAAGGAAAAUUGUUAUAAGCUCAAGUGCAUAAUGAACUCUAUUAUAAAGCCCAAUCAGCGCCCUUACUCUGUUACUUCCAAUAGCGGCAGCGAUAGCGAUCACAACGUUUUUGUAUGCAACCUCGAUAUAGUUCUCACAAUAUCCAUAGCGCUUAUGUCGCAACCACGACACAAAAACUUAUUAUUGUGAUCGGAAUAAAAUACCGAUACUGAUUGUAUCGGUAUUUUAAUUAAUUAAAAAAAAAAUUGUUUGCUAUCGUUUUACUGGAAGGGAGCUGAACACAUCAUUGGGAAUAACUGCAGCUGUAUCAUCAGAUUCAGAAAAAACUGUUCGCGUCACACAAAAAGGUAU